CCCAGAGUCUGCCCCACCCACUGCAGCACUGAUUUAAUCCAGCUCAUCCAGAGCAGGCAGCUUGCCCUAGGGACUGGCCCCACACAACAGCAAGCCUUCAGGGAACUUGUGGGCCUGCAUAGGCUGGGUGCCUAGAUUCUCUGCAGCAGGGGAUUCCGAGUAACUUUCUUGUGUUCACAAAGAAAGUAAGCAGGAGAACAAGGAAAAACUCAUUCCAUGGGCUUCUGAAAUCCCACCUGGAGAUUUGGGCCCCCUAAGCAAUUGAACGUUUUCUCUGUGUGGACAUCCACCAGUCAAUGGCACUGCACCGUCAAACACAUGACAGAGAAGUUUGCAACAGGAGACUUGAGUGUAUGUGGUCUUUCAAGUUCUCUUGGCAUCCGAAAGUUGGCAUCUGCUCCCUUAUACACAUCAUCCUCGCCAUUAAACAUAGUGCAAGCGAUUAAAGCUGCUAGGGUAAAAAACAAGUUUCAGUAUAACUAAAAUGGGAUUUCUUUUACUAACUAAAAUAAAGGAGAAUGUAAUAAAGUACUUUUGGAGAAAUAUUUUGUUCUAUAUUUUAAGAGAAAUGUAUGAGGGAUUGAAGAAAAAAUGAUCAUUAUAAGAAUAAGUUUUGAACUGUUUGAGCUACAGAAACGUGUCUUUUUGGCCUUUUUAUUUAGCCAUUUGUCUCAACAGACGUAAAACUUUUUAAAAAUAUGUUUAUGAUUAAAUUUUCAUAAUAUGAAAAUGGCGUGGGGACUAUAAAGAUGAAUAUGGAAAAACUUACAUGUAUUUGGCAUUACAAUAUGCCUGAGUGCUUUACAUAUCUUAUCUGGUUUGAUUCUCACACACACAUAGGGAUAAAGAAGCAAACUUAGAAAAGUAACAGUUGGUAGUGGGACAUGGAGAUGAGGCUAGGUCUGCCUGAUCUUAAACUUCCCAGCUCCCAGAACUGUGAGAAACAAGUUUCUCCCGUUGAAGACACUCAGUCUAUGGUUUUCCAUCAUAGCAGCCCGAGCUGACCAAGACACUCUCCCUGCUCUGCAGCCUGGAAACUCUCUUCAAUAGCCUGGAAAAUCACAGAUCUCAUCUCACUUGUCUUACUUCUCUCAAGGAUCACUGUCCAGCUCUGCCUUUUGUCAAUGUCUGAAAACCGUUAGUUGUUCCAUAUAUUUUGUCUAGCUUUUCAGUUCUUGAAUGAAAUAGGAUAAAUUAGUUCCUGAUACGCCAAUGAUAGCCAGAAGCAAAAGAUGACAGGUUGAACUUUACAAGCUUCCAUUAUCACAAUCAAGACAGCUCUAUUCUUUUGUGUCAAAAUGCACCCUAGACAUUUUAGUUUUCUCUGAACACUUCGUUUAACUUAUCUAAAGUCAUGUAGGCCAGGUUUUUCCCUUAGGAGCAAAGACCUGCUCCCUGGGGGCUCUGCAUUCCUGGAUACAUAAUGGGUGUGGUCAUUUUAUUUGGUUCAGUGAUCUGCAGUACACAUUUAUUGACCUUCAAUUAAUCCUCUGGUUUUCAGUCCCACUUUUCCCUCCUGCCUCUUGCUUUACCUGCUGCCUCUCAGCUCAGAGACUCUCCAGAGUUCUUUGAAGUGAAUUGGCUUCCCCUCACUUUGUAGCUUCUUCUGAGCAUUCUCAAGGCUUCAGUGUCUCUGCCUGCUCCGUCUAUUAACCUGCCUGUUUUCUUAUUUCCAAAGGUGGGUUAAGAUGUUUCAUUCAUUCUCAUUCUUUCAGUGUUUAUUUUUUUCUCCAUUUCUUUUAAUUUGUGAGGGGAGGUGGUACAUUUUGGUGAUGCAGAAUGUAAAGCGUGUGCCCAUCCAUUAUCAUCUCUUGGCUUUUCAAAAUAGACUCCCUUCAAUUUGUGUCACACCACUGAUUUUUUCUACUUUAGGGGAGUUUAAAUUUAUUACUGUUUACAAAUUUUAUUUUCACGUUUCUUUACGGAUUGGAAUGGAUGCCUAUUUCCAUCUAAGAUGAUUUCAUUCUUGUUUCCUGUGUCAUGCUUUUCACUUAUGAUAUAAAGUGCUUGUGCUGCAUUGGAUUACCCACUGAGAUAUCCUGGGAAUCCAACUUUUCUGACCCCAAUCCCAACACCCUCACCUCCUCCAGUAACCAGCUGUUCUUAUUCUCAUACUCAGGGGAUAUAUCAUCUGGGUAAAUAAAUUUAUGGAUCCUUCUCUCCUCUUGAGCAAGGGCAACUUCCACAUUUUUCAAGCUUCAGCCCCCUUCAGAAACUCAAAUUGAAAUCACAUAUGGUUCCAGUCCCAGAAGAGGUAGGAGUUCUGUCAGCUAGACUGUUUCUGGAAUAAAGGUUUAGACCAUUGAGCCACCUCAAACACUGAUUCUAUGUAAACUGGAGUAAUAGGGUCAAGGAAAUAUUGCUCUGAAAGUCUAGUCAUUCUAAAUCACACCUAAUAAUGACUGCUCACAUUCCAUAAAGUGAGCCCCAAAGAUGAGGACAAUAACUGAAGUUAGGAAGCAAUUCUUAAUUAAACACAAAUCUCAGCUAAUGGCUGUUUUACAAGAAGUAUAUACUUCAACAAUAUGUGGGUUUGUAAAGGUAAAGCCAUAGAAGGGAUAUUUUAUAUGUUUCAUUGAAUUAUUUUUCACCAACAAUCCCAAAGCUAAUUCUUACUCUUUUUCUCUUAGUAAGCUUUGAUAGCUUCUACUUGAACAUUCGAUUACCUUAUCUUUUUUUGUUGUUGUUGCAAAAAUAAGAUGGAUCUGCCCUAUGUGGAAGAAAACAACUAUCCUGAGAUUAUAGCUGAAGGUCCAGCAAUUUGUAAAGUGAGUGCAUCUUAUUGCACCCUCUGCUCUCCUGAUGAGCGAGAAGAUGACAGAUCUAGGUCCAUAGUCCUCUGCCCAGCCUGCAUAUGGGUGUGAAGGGAAAGACUAGGACCAAAACUAUCAGGGUCACAUCCCUUUUCUUAGCUGUGCGAUACUGGGGGAGAGGUACAAACUGAGAAUAGGAGUCAUCACACAGAUAUGCUUCUCCUCUUUUCAUCUUCAGUCUUCACAUCUCUAAUACACCAAGGGAUCAUAAAAUUCUGCAACCACAUAAAAGUACCCUCAGGAAAAAACAUUAAGCUACACUUUCCCUGAGAUAUCUCACCCCUCU
This 3099-nucleotide long non-coding RNA is filed under the name Equus caballus (horse). RNAcentral describes it as "lncRNA (ENSECAG00000059530.1)". The record is from RNAcentral. Lineage: Eukaryota; Metazoa; Chordata; Mammalia; Perissodactyla; Equidae.